GGAGAAUUGUGUAACUGUAUCUCAAUCCGUGUGUGCGUAAUCAGAUUUGUAAAUGUGUAAAAUAAUCUGUAAAUGCGUACUGAGAUUUGUGAAUGUGUACAGGAAUCUGCAAACGUGUGUUCAGAUUCUGUGUGUGCGUGAAAUAUUUGUAAUUGUAUUGAGAUUCGUAAAUGUUUGGACAAAUCUGUAAAUGCGUACAUAUAUCUGUGAAUGAGUAGACACAUCUGUAAAUGUGUAUACAAAUAUGUAAAUGCUUAUACAGACAAGUCAUCAGUUACAAUUCAGAUGGGCCUCUGAAUUCGCUGUCUUUUUACACGUGACUUUUGCUACACUUGCGUGUUGCGAUUUGCAAAUGUGUGUGGAGAUUUGUAUGUUUAGCCACCAGGCGGCGGUAGCACGCACUGAUUUUACGCAUGACAUUGAUGGGCUCGUUGUGGUUUAAGGAAUGUAAUUUAAGUCUAUAUUAAAUAAGUAUGUCUCCCAGAAAAGCUUCUCAGAAUUAUUGAGGCUGCCAACCGCUUCGACGGGACGGGGUAUGGGCUCUAAUUCAGGACAUCCUGGCUUGCACAUCCUUUUGAUUCAUAGCUCCGAUGUUGCAGACUACCAAAGGACAGACGAGGCCCAUUGCAACGGUUAACUGCCUGGGGCCCUACACUCUCUCCGCAAUUCUGGCCACCAGUGUUCUGGGUCACAAUGUUCCACCGUGGGUCCUGACUGCCGAAAACACUACCGGGCUAAACAUGCUCAAAGACAUUUGUCACUUAUCCUUCUUGUAAUACCAAACAUGCAUCUGUGUAUUCAAAUAUUCCACAAUAUUACUUGGAUACUGCAUACCACAUAGUCUCCAUACCACAUGUCAAACACACAUACAGACCAUAAAGCCCAUGAUAAUGACUGAGUCUGUAUAUGUCAAAGCUGUAUACAACCACAGCACAGUAUCCAUCAAGACUGGAAAACAGUUAUUGUUUCAUAGAGAGGAUAAAACAGGCCAAUAUUAGCUAUUAUGGAAACCAGUGAAGCUUGGUCCCAAACUGAUGGGUUGCUUUUCAGAUUGUGUGAGAUUGGCUGGAACUGUAGAGGUACUGGGAGCAGUAAACUGACUCAGGAGGACAUGCACUGAAAGUAGUCUGGUCAUUCCUUCAAGGUAUCUAGAGUGUUUUCCUCUGCACCAUUGUGUGUCUAGGACUUAAAGAAAAUCAGCAAUUAAUAAAAUGUUCAGUCUUAACAGAUGUCCGU
Esox lucius (northern pike) is the source of this 1236-nucleotide long non-coding RNA. RefSeq lists it as uncharacterized. The transcript is spliced from 3 exons. The record is from RefSeq and is a predicted model, not a curated record. Lineage: Eukaryota; Metazoa; Chordata; Actinopteri; Esociformes; Esocidae.